Small nucleolar RNA from Salvia splendens (bonfire salvia), 107 nucleotides. The record is from RefSeq and is a predicted model, not a curated record. Lineage: Eukaryota; Viridiplantae; Streptophyta; Magnoliopsida; Lamiales; Lamiaceae.
AAACCGUGGUUGGGGCACUUGCGGAGGAGGCCUUUGAAACGAGCAAACGCCUCGUAGAGGGGCUCGUCGUCGCCUUGCAUGAACUGGAAGAUCUCACUUUUGAGCUU